Molecule: ribosomal RNA, 381 nt
Filed under: uncultured bacterium
Lineage: Bacteria
Description: bacterial SSU rRNA
Rfam family: Bacterial small subunit ribosomal RNA
Source: RNAcentral
AUUGAACGCUGGCGGAAUGCUUUACACAUGCAAGUCGAACGGUAGAGGGGGCAACCCCUUGAGAGUGGCGAACGGGUGAGUAAUAUAUCGGAACGUGCCCAGUCGUGGGGAUAACGUAGCGAAAGUUACGCUAAUACCGCAUACGAUCUAAGGAUGAAAGCGGGGGAUCGCAAGACCUCGCGCGAUUGGAGCGGCCGAUAUCAGAUUAGGUAGUUGGUGAGGUAAAGGCUCACCAAGCCGACGAUCUGUAGCUGGUCUGAGAGGACGACCAACCACACUGGGACUGAGACACGGCCCAGACUCCUACGGGAGGCAGCAGUGGGGAAUUUUGGACAAUGGGCGCAAGCCUGAUCCAGCAAUGCCGCGUGCAGGAUGAAGGCC